This 2772-nucleotide long non-coding RNA is filed under the name Ananas comosus (pineapple). RNAcentral describes it as "long non-coding RNA (ACOM_LNC030303)". The record is from RNAcentral. Lineage: Eukaryota; Viridiplantae; Streptophyta; Magnoliopsida; Poales; Bromeliaceae.
UAAAUUUUAAUUUUAUAAUAUUGAUUACUUCGACAUAAAUUGUAAAAAAAUAUAUAUAAAGAGAGAUUGAUGGAGUUUAAGUUAAUCCUUAUUUUAAUAAAUUUAGUUGCGAGAAUUGAUGAAGUAUAUAUAUCUAAAUCUGUAAAAGUAAACGACGUAUUCAAAUUUUAAAGUCAAAAGAUCAUUGGCUGACUCAAAUCUAAUGUAUAGAAAUAUUGGCUAAUAAAAAUAAAAUUUUCAAAGGUUAGAUAGCUGAUUCAAAAUGGUUCAUAGUUUACAAAAUUUAUAUGUUUUUACUUUGAUUUUAAUAUCAAACUUUAAUGCCAUAUUUAUAAUCUGAUAAGCGAUUACUUUUAUAUUUAAAAUUUUUUAAAAUAUCCAAAUUAUGAUUGGUCAACUUUUAAUUUUAACAAUUAGGAAUUCUAAACUUUAUUAGAUAGUUGAACAUAUUAUUUCCUCGAAUAAAUUACUAAUUAAACAAAAAUGAUUGAUGCUCAACUUUGUGUUCAUCUGGAAUAAAAUUAAAAUAUAAAAAGGAUAAAUUAUACUUUUGGUCCCAAACUAUAAGACGCGUGAUAUUUUAGUCUUUGAAUUUUAAUGCGUUACAUUUUCUUGCUAAAACUAUGAGGCACAUGAUGCUUUAGUUUCCAAACUUUAAUUAGUUGUAAUUUAUUACUCAAACUAUAAAACAUAUGACAUUUUAAUUCUCAACUUUUACUACUAUUAUAAAUAUAAUUUAUUAUUCUCUUCUUAUAUUUUUACUGCAACAGCUGCUAUUUUUCUUUACUUUCUUUUAUUUGUAUUAUUUUCUGUUCUCUGACUUUUUUUAUUAUUUAUUUUUACUUUUUUAUUUAUUAUCAUUUCUACGGAAUCGAUCCGUCGCAACGCGCGGAUAGCUUCACUAGUUAUAUAUGAUUGUACAGGUUGAUAUUUAAUUUCGCUUCGUUCUUGUGGGAAAAGUCUUGCUUGUUCAGCGGGUCUAGGUGCAUGCUCGAGGGGGCCCAACUGGCAGGUCUCGGAGUGUGACAACAUUAGUAGACAGCUAUAUUAUGAUAGCCCCAAGGGCACUAGGACAGUACUAUUGUGAUUUUUUUAUCAUCACGUGUGAUCACCAUAGCCUAGAUAGGCAUAUUGAGCUUGAUAGUGAUAUCAAUAAUCAAUAAUCAAUAACUCUAUAUGAUUUUCCAAUACAAUAGUUGAUGUGGCAAGUCCUCAUUUUUUUGAACUUUUCUAUUUUUUUUUUUUUUAUAAGUGGACCUCUCUCUCUUCCCUCCUUUCACCGUACAUUCCUUCAUCUCCCCCCUAUGAUUUUCCAAUACAAUAACUAAUGUGGCAAGUCCUAAUUUUUUUUGGACUUUUCCAAUUUUUUUUUUAUAAGUGGACCUCUCUCUCUUCCCUCCUUUUACCGUACAUCCCUUCAUCUCUCCCCUAUCUCACCAUAUGUUCCUUUCACCUCCCCUUUAUCCCACCGUUUGUCCCUUCAUCUUCAAACCACUCUUUCAAGGAAACCCCCAUUCCCCCAUCUCCCUCUGUCUCUCUCCCACCAACCCACAUCCGUUCUCUCCUCCCUUAUUUUUAAGGUUUCAAAUUAUUAUUAAUAAUAAUUUUUAAAUACUAAUUUUUAUAAUUUUAAUUUGAUUUAAUAUAGAGAAGAAAUAGGUGAUAAUGAAUUUAAGAGCUACAAAUCGAAUUCGCUUCAAGUGAGAUUUUAUAUUUUUAUGAAUUAAAAAAUAUUUUUUUUCCUUUCUUAAAAAAAAAUUUCUCUCUCCUAAUUUUAUUUUGUUUUAAUUGCUAAUUUUUCUUUUGAAAUUUGGUUUUGAUGUAGAAAAAAAGAAACCGGAAUCUAUUAUAAUUCAUCGAGUAAUAAAACCAACCCCAACGAAAUCACCUCUGGUUUUUUCAUUAAAUUAUGUUUUUUUUUAAUUCCUAUCUAUGCAACAAUUUUUAAUUUUUUUAUAGUUUCUUUUUUGUUUUUUUUUUUUGUUCUCCAUUGGAUUAUAUUUUCAUUCUAAAAAAAUUUUCAAUAUAUUUUUUAUAUUAUUAAACAAUCAAAUAUUGAUUAUUUUCUAUUGAUUAUUUUCUACUAUAUUUUUAUUUUUUAUUUGUAUAUUUAAUUUAUGAUUUAUUAUAAUUUUUAUCCGCCGCAUCGCGCGGGUUCUUACGCUAGUAUGCUAUGAUACUCGAUUGGGUCAUGCCCCUUGAGUGUCAAUUCGGAGGUUAAGUUGAACAAUUGGUAUGAGCCAAACAGUAGCCUGUCUAUAACGGACCACUAUAGGUGGGGGCUGGACACGAGGCGACACAGGUUUGACAGGACUAUUGAGUCGGUCGGUGAGAUUGGAUUGUAUAACAUUGUUUAUUUAGUUAUACAAUCCAUUAUUUGUCAAAUACUAACCUCAAAAAAAAAGAAUCAUAGUAUACAAACAUUCAGAUCUAUGUAAAUAAGAACAACUUGCAAACUUUAUCUAUUUACUUACUAGCUAGUAACAGAUUAAAAAUGAUAGGGAAGCCACUUGCUGCUCUCCCAAAUUGGUAUAUAGAAAAUUAAGCCAAUAUCUCAGCUUUUUCUUCUAAUUUUCAUUUUCAAAACUAGCACAAACAUUCAUCAACCUAAGUUAAAUUAAUUCAACAAAAAAAUAGAUUUUCAUGGCUGGUACUGAGAUCCCAAAACCCACAUUAGAGGAGAAAUUACAGAAAACCAAUUUGAUGCCCACAAAAAAAAUAAAUAAAGAUUGGAAAAAGAGAAAAAAAUGAAAUACUAUUUAAUAUCCAUUU